AGGUGCGAUCAUGCCAGCACUAAUGCACGAGAUCCCAUCAGAACUCCGUAGUGAAACGUAAUUGGGCGAGAGUAGUACUAGGAUGGGUGACCUCCUGGGAAGUCCUCAUGUUGCACCUC
This 119-nucleotide ribosomal RNA is filed under the name Vigna radiata var. radiata (mung bean). The record is from RNAcentral. Lineage: Eukaryota; Viridiplantae; Streptophyta; Magnoliopsida; Fabales; Fabaceae.